RNAcentral lists this transfer RNA (72 nucleotides) under Podarcis lilfordi (Lilford's wall lizard). RNAcentral describes it as "tRNA.Met". The stretch from base 5 to 63 matches the Rfam family "tRNA", at positions 8 to 63 of the family's 71-position model. From Rfam's summary of the family: Transfer RNA (tRNA) molecules are approximately 80 nucleotides in length. Their secondary structure includes four short double-helical elements and three loops (D, anti-codon, and T loops). Lineage: Eukaryota; Metazoa; Chordata; Lepidosauria; Squamata; Lacertidae. The record is from RNAcentral.
UGGAUAGCUCAGUUGGUUAGAGUGUGGUGCUCAUAAUGCCAAGGUUUCAGGUUCAAUCCCUGUAUGGAACAG